CUGCAGCUAGUUAAGUCAACCAGGUUCCUUUACCUGGAGGUCCCAGGGUACAAUGGCUACAAACGGCAGUACUCUGGUAGAGUAUGCAUGUUUCUUUAUGGGUGGUCUUAAGGGACUUGGGAGUGAGCA
Molecule: small nucleolar RNA, 129 nt
Organism: Marmota flaviventris (yellow-bellied marmot)
Lineage: Eukaryota; Metazoa; Chordata; Mammalia; Rodentia; Sciuridae
Product: small nucleolar RNA SNORA70
Source: RefSeq, a predicted model, not a curated record